GAGGGUAUAUUUCAAUGGUAGAAUGUGUGCUUAGCAUGCAUGAGGUCCUGAGUUCAAUCCCCAGUACCUCUA
Transfer RNA from Camelus ferus (Wild Bactrian camel), 72 nucleotides. It matches the Rfam family "tRNA". From Rfam's summary of the family: Transfer RNA (tRNA) molecules are approximately 80 nucleotides in length. Their secondary structure includes four short double-helical elements and three loops (D, anti-codon, and T loops). The record is from Rfam. NCBI's taxonomy places the organism in Eukaryota, Metazoa, Chordata, Mammalia, Artiodactyla, Camelidae.